GCUCACAAUGAGUGGCUUUCACUAGUGCCAAGAUAGCACAGAUAAUUUCGCCAAUGUCAUGUAGUAUGGAGUAGACACAAAGGAAAUUG
Long non-coding RNA from Melitaea cinxia (Glanville fritillary), 89 nucleotides. RefSeq lists it as uncharacterized. The record is from RefSeq and is a predicted model, not a curated record. The transcript is spliced from 3 exons. Lineage: Eukaryota; Metazoa; Arthropoda; Insecta; Lepidoptera; Nymphalidae.